This 73-nucleotide transfer RNA is filed under the name Candidatus Woesearchaeota archaeon. RNAcentral describes it as "tRNA-Thr". It matches the Rfam family "tRNA". Rfam says of the family: Transfer RNA (tRNA) molecules are approximately 80 nucleotides in length. Their secondary structure includes four short double-helical elements and three loops (D, anti-codon, and T loops). The record is from RNAcentral. Lineage: Archaea; Nanobdellati; Candidatus Woesearchaeota.
GCCUUGGUAGCUUAGUCGGUAGAGCACUGCAUUGGUAAUGCAGAGGUCGCGAGUUCGAUUCUCGUCCAAGGCU